AGUGAACGCUCGCGGUAGGCCUAACACAUGCAAGUCGAACGGCAGCACAGUAAGAGCUUGCUCUUACGGGUGGCGAGUGGCGGACGGGUGAGGAAUACAUCGGAAUCUACUUUUUCGUGGGGGAUAACGUAGGGAAACUUACGCUAAUACCGCAUACGACCUACGGGUGAAAGCAGGGGAUCUUCGGACCUUGCGCGAUUGAAUGAGCCGAUGUCGGAUUAGCUAGUUGGCGGGGUAAGGGCCCACCAAGGCGACGAUCCGUAGCUGGUCUGAGAGGAUGAUCAGCCACACUGGAACUGAGACACGGUCCAGACUCCUACGGGAGGCAGCAGUGGGGAAUAUUGGACAAUGGGCGCAAGCCUGAUCCAGCCAUACCGCGUGGGUGAAGAAGGCCUUCGGGUUGUAAAGCCCUUUUGUUGGGAAAGAAAAGCAGCAGGUUAAUACCCCGCUGUUCUGACGGUACCCAAAGAAUAAGCACCGGCUAACUUCGUG
RNAcentral lists this ribosomal RNA (492 nucleotides) under uncultured bacterium. RNAcentral's name for it is "partial 16S ribosomal RNA". It matches the Rfam family "Bacterial small subunit ribosomal RNA", at positions 29 to 507 of the family's 1533-position model. The record is from RNAcentral.